RNAcentral lists this ribosomal RNA (279 nucleotides) under uncultured bacterium. RNAcentral describes it as "partial 16S ribosomal RNA". It matches the Rfam family "Bacterial small subunit ribosomal RNA", at positions 506 to 784 of the family's 1533-position model. The record is from RNAcentral.
UGCCAGCAGCCGCGGUACUACGUAGGGUGCAAGCGUUAUCCGGAAUCAUUGGGUUUAAAGGGUCCGUAGGCGGACAAUUAAGUCAGAGGUGAAAGUCUGUAGCUCAACUAUAGAAUUGCCUUUGAUACUGGUUGUCUUGAAUUACUGUGAAGUGGUUAGAAUAAGUAGUGUAGCGGUGAAAUGCAUAGAUAUUACUUAGAAUACCAAUUGCGAAGGCAGAUCACUAACAGUAUAUUGACGCUGAGGGACGAAAGCGUGGGGAGCGAACAGGAUUAGAUA